AAACAAAUACUACUAACUAUUCCGAACUCAAAGAGGAGUUGAUCAAGAUGGGAACAAUUGUAUGCCAAGAUUGCAAUUCAACGAUUGAUCAUUUUGAAGAUGAAAAAGUAACUGUACUUUAUUCAAAGUGCUCCUGCAAUAAAUGCCAUUCUCACGAUGAGGAUCUUUAAAAAUCAACUAUUUUUCAAUAUAAAAACAGGAUUCCAUUUGGAAUCCUGUUUUUAUAU
RNAcentral lists this small RNA (227 nucleotides) under Bacillus sp. FJAT-18017. Its description in RNAcentral is "SR1 sRNA". It matches the Rfam family "SR1 sRNA". The record is from Rfam by way of RNAcentral. Lineage: Bacteria; Bacillati; Bacillota; Bacilli; Caryophanales; Bacillaceae.